RNAcentral lists this ribosomal RNA (253 nucleotides) under uncultured bacterium. Its description in RNAcentral is "partial 16S ribosomal RNA". It matches the Rfam family "Bacterial small subunit ribosomal RNA", at positions 524 to 776 of the family's 1533-position model. The record is from RNAcentral.
UACGUAGGGGGCAAGCGUUGUCCGGAAUCAUUGGGCGUAAAGCGCGUGUAGGCGGUCCGGUAAGUCGGUUGUGAAAGUCCAGGGCUCAACCCUGGGAUGCCGACCGAUACUGUCGGACUAGAGUUCGGAAGAGGCGAGUGGAAUUCCCGGCGUAGCGGUGAAAUGCGCAGAUAUCGGGAGGAACACCAAUGGCGAAGGCAGCUCGCUGGGACGUUACUGACGCUGAGACGCGAAAGCGUGGGGAGCAAACAGG